CGGACGGCUGAGUAACGCGUGGGUGACCUGCCCCGAAGUGGGGAAUAACUGCCCGAAAGGGUGGCUAAUACCGCAUGUGGUGGUGCAUUCAUUUGCACCAGUAAAGCCGCAAGGCGCUUCGGGAGGGGCCUGCGUCCGAUUAGCUCGUUGGUGGGGUAACGGCUCACCAAGGCGACGAUCGGUAGGUGGUCUGAGAGGACGAUCACCCAGACUGGGACUGAGACACGGCCCAG
This 233-nucleotide ribosomal RNA is filed under the name uncultured bacterium. RNAcentral describes it as "partial 16S ribosomal RNA". It matches the Rfam family "Bacterial small subunit ribosomal RNA", at positions 99 to 334 of the family's 1533-position model. The record is from RNAcentral.